This 406-nucleotide ribosomal RNA is filed under the name uncultured bacterium. RNAcentral's name for it is "bacterial SSU rRNA". It matches the Rfam family "Bacterial small subunit ribosomal RNA", at positions 355 to 777 of the family's 1533-position model. The record is from RNAcentral.
UGGGGGAUAUUGCACAAUGGGGGAAACCCUGAUGCAGCGACGCCGCGUGGGCGAAGAAGUAUUUCGGUAUGUAAAGCUCUAUCCGCAGGGAAGAAAAAAGACGGUACCUGACUAAGAAGCCCCGGCUAACUACGUGCCAGCAGCCGCGGUAAUACGUAGGGGGCAAGCGUUAUCCGGAUUUACUGGGUGUAAAGGGAGCGUAGACGGCAAUACAAGUCGGAAGUGAAAUACCCGGGCUCAACCUGGGAACUGCUUUGGAAACUGUAUGGCUGGAGUGCUGGAGAGGUAAGCGGAAUUCCUAGUGUAGCGGUGAAAUGCGUAGAUAUUAGGAGGAACACCAGUGGCGAAGGCGGCUUACUGGACAGUAACUGACGUUGAGGCUCGAAAGCGUGGGGAGCAAACAGGA